Molecule: ribosomal RNA, 420 nt
Filed under: Triticum aestivum (bread wheat)
Lineage: Eukaryota; Viridiplantae; Streptophyta; Magnoliopsida; Poales; Poaceae
Description: partial small subunit ribosomal RNA
Source: RNAcentral
AUGGAUGCGGAGCUGAUCGAGCACCUUGAGGCCAAAGUGAGUGCUGACAGCGCGAGAUUUCAGUCUCUCAUCGAUUUGUUCAUACCAACCAUCGACAGCGAGCACGGGAUAUGCUACAGCCAACCAGAGAAACUUCCAGGUAUCACACUGAGUGGCCUAAGGAAGCAUUUCUUCCAGCGCAAUUCCAGGGCAUUCAAAAGGGGCACGUGGACGCGUCACAAGAUACAGUCGGAGUGCGGCAUGCACGCGAUGUGGCACAAGACAGGCAAUACCUUGCCGGUGAUGGUCAACGGCCGGCAGACGGGCAGCAAAAAAGUUGUACUACCUUGUCGUCCGCAAGUUGGUAUUGUUGUUAACGAUCUUUUGGUCGAGCAAGUUUCAACUGGGCUGCAGACUGCCCAGGGUUGGUUCUAUUUUUAA